RNAcentral lists this long non-coding RNA (633 nucleotides) under Brachypodium distachyon (stiff brome). RNAcentral describes it as "long non-coding RNA (BDIS_LNC002504)". Lineage: Eukaryota; Viridiplantae; Streptophyta; Magnoliopsida; Poales; Poaceae. The record is from RNAcentral.
CUACACAUAAUUAAAAUGAGUCGUGCCAUGGGGGAUGCGUUCGAUCAGUUAAUUUUCAUUUUAUAUCAAAUGAUGCACCUGUUAAUAACAAAUCAAGCGAUGCAACAAACUUUCUUUCUAUGAUGCACAUUAACUGUAUGUGUUAUAGUAAGCGAGAUAGUAUGCCUGAGCAAUUCAUCACCAUGUAUCUUUCAUAUUAUUUUGAGCAUGAGUUGUGCAAAUACGUACCUCUUCAUGCAGAUGUGCAAACAUCCAAGAAUAGAAAAUAACCAUUGUUAGAGUAGCAUAAUUUGUGCAAACAGAAAUGUCAUUACAUAAAAAAAAAGAGCUAAAAAAACUGCUCCCAGGAAAGACUUUGUUUGGCUACUAGCUAGUACACACUAGUACAUGAUAAAUACUUACUGCUAAUUGAUAUGGCGUGAUGAAUAUUGCCAGGGUCUGACUUAUAUUUGACAAAAGUAUCAGGCGAGGUCUACUUUGAUCGAGCAUUCUUUGGUCCUCUUCCAAUUGCGCUAACUAGCUAUGUUUUGUUUAAGUAGCUAAACUAGCUAUGUAUGCAAGCUGAAUUCAAAAGAGAGAUCAAAUCACUUUUGAUUAUUAAACAGACCAAACCAUAUUUUACCAUGGGCAAGA